This 61-nucleotide transfer RNA is filed under the name Fukomys damarensis (Damara mole-rat). It matches the Rfam family "tRNA". From Rfam's summary of the family: Transfer RNA (tRNA) molecules are approximately 80 nucleotides in length. Their secondary structure includes four short double-helical elements and three loops (D, anti-codon, and T loops). Further hydrogen bonds mediate the characteristic L-shaped molecular structure. tRNAs have two regions of fundamental functional importance: the anti-codon, which is responsible for specific mRNA codon recognition, and the 3' end, to which the tRNAs corresponding amino acid is attached (by aminoacyl-tRNA synthetases). tRNAs cope with the degeneracy of the genetic code in two manners: having more than one tRNA (with a specific anti-codon) for a particular amino acid; and 'wobble' base-pairing, i.e. permitting non-standard base-pairing at the 3rd anti-codon position. The record is from Rfam by way of RNAcentral. Lineage: Eukaryota; Metazoa; Chordata; Mammalia; Rodentia; Bathyergidae.
GAGGGUGUAGCUCAGUGGUAAAGCAUGAUCAAGGCCCUGGGUUCAAUUCCCAGCACUGGCC